RNAcentral lists this transfer RNA (82 nucleotides) under Phycisphaeraceae bacterium. RNAcentral's name for it is "tRNA-Cys". It matches the Rfam family "tRNA". Rfam says of the family: Transfer RNA (tRNA) molecules are approximately 80 nucleotides in length. Their secondary structure includes four short double-helical elements and three loops (D, anti-codon, and T loops). Further hydrogen bonds mediate the characteristic L-shaped molecular structure. tRNAs have two regions of fundamental functional importance: the anti-codon, which is responsible for specific mRNA codon recognition, and the 3' end, to which the tRNAs corresponding amino acid is attached (by aminoacyl-tRNA synthetases). tRNAs cope with the degeneracy of the genetic code in two manners: having more than one tRNA (with a specific anti-codon) for a particular amino acid; and 'wobble' base-pairing, i.e. permitting non-standard base-pairing at the 3rd anti-codon position. RNAcentral also lists the same sequence under 1 other name. The record is from RNAcentral. Lineage: Bacteria; Pseudomonadati; Planctomycetota; Phycisphaerae; Phycisphaerales; Phycisphaeraceae.
GGCCGUGUGCCAGAGUGGACAAAUGGGGCGGAUUGCAAAUCCGCAGGCUUAGCCUACGUGGGUUCGAAUCCCACCGCGGCCU